This 441-nucleotide RNase P RNA is filed under the name Anaerolineaceae bacterium. RNAcentral's name for it is "RNase P RNA component class A". It matches the Rfam family "Bacterial RNase P class A". Rfam says of the family: Ribonuclease P (RNase P) is a ubiquitous endoribonuclease, found in archaea, bacteria and eukarya as well as chloroplasts and mitochondria. Lineage: Bacteria; Bacillati; Chloroflexota; Anaerolineae; Anaerolineales; Anaerolineaceae. The record is from RNAcentral.
CAGGCUGGUCGGGCGAUCGCGGUCCUGUGUUUACGGGAUCGAGGAAAGUCCGCACUCCAUAGAGCACGGCGUCGGAUAGCACCCGGGGCGGGGAGACUUCGUUUGGAGUCAACCUGCCGGAUAAGGGCCACAGAAACAAACUGCGCACCCACCCUUCGGGGCAGGGACGUGAAGGUGAAAAGGUGGUGUAAGAGACCACCGGCGCCCGCCGUAAUGCGGGCGGCCAGGUAACCCCCGCCGGGAGCAAGGCCAAGCAGGGACGAUAUCGUCUGCGGACGGAAGGAGGCGGCUCGCUUCCUUAUACGCCCCUCCUAGAGGGAGGAGCCAGUCCCGGGUAGGUCGCUUGAGCGGCGCGGCGACGCGCCGCCUAGAGAGAUGAUCGCACAGGCAGGGUGAAAUCCCCUUGCCAGACAGAAUGCGGCUUACAGACCAGCCGAGGCA